GGGUCUGUGGAUUUCUAGUUUAUGAUAAAUAGGACUUUAAAAACCAGGGACGGGAGGGCGAGUGUUCAGGUUCUAGAGCUAUGCAGCUGGAGCACUGCCUUUCUCCUUCUAUCAUGCUCUCCAAGAAAUUUCUCAAUGUGAGCAGCAGCUACCCACAUUCAGGCGGAUCCGAGCUUGUCUUGCACGAUCAUCCCAUUAUCUCGACCACUGACAACCUGGAGAGAAGUUCACCUUUGAAAAAAAUUACCAGGGGGAUGACGAAUCAGUCAGAUACAGACAAUUUUCCUGACUCCAAGGACUCACCAGGGGACGUCCAGAGAAGUAAACUCUCUCCUGUCUUGGACGGGGUCUCUGAGCUUCGUCACAGUUUCGAUGGCUCUGCUGCAGAUCGCUACCUCCUCUCUCAGUCCAGCCAGCCACAGUCUGCGGCCACUGCUCCCAGUGCCAUGUUCCCGUACCCCGGCCAGCACGGACCGGCGCACCCCGCCUUCUCCAUCGGCAGCCCCAGCCGCUACAUGGCCCACCACCCGGUCAUCACCAACGGAGCCUACAACAGCCUCCUGUCCAACUCCUCGCCACAGGGAUACCCCACGGCCGGCUACCCCUACCCACAGCAGUACGGCCACUCCUACCAAGGAGCUCCGUUCUACCAGUUCUCCUCCACCCAGCCGGGGCUGGUGCCCGGCAAAGCACAGGUGUAUCUGUGCAACAGGCCCCUUUGGCUGAAAUUUCACCGGCACCAAACGGAGAUGAUCAUCACCAAACAGGGAAGGUAAUACUACAUUUUUGGCUGCCGCUGCUCUAGGCGCAGCCGGGGACAAGUGCACCUAGGUUGUGACUGCCGCGGCAGCGACGAUUUGGGGUCGGGAGCGGAGUGGAAGGCGCCCUAGAGUUGGCUAGUUUUGGAAAGGGGGAAAGUGGAAGGGAUAACCGCCACGGUGAUGUUGGUGGGGGAGACCCCGUUCUAGGAACGUGGUUGGAGAGCCAGUCAGUGGCCAGAGUAAGGCAAGAAAAAGGAAGAGCCCUGGCCAGCGGCUGGGCGAUGGGACGCAUCAACACUGGCAUGCACGGACAGGUGGAGACGCAGGUCGCCAACCUCGCUCUCCACCUGGGCAGUGAUACCUGCCACCUUCCCACUCCAGCUCACCCGCCGCUCUCCCUGAUUUGGGUUGCACUUCUUUUCUUCUCCCACCACCCUUUUUCUAAUCCAGCAAAUAUUCGCCCUAUUUGCUGCAAGUACAAGUUUUGCUUUGCUAACUGGCGCCCCGCUUCUUGCAUUUAAUCUUUAACAUUUAUAUUUCUUUUUUCCUUGUUUUCUCCCCCACCCCUUAAUUUAAAUAGGCGCAUGUUUCCUUUUUUAAGUUUUAACAUUUCUGGUCUCGAUCCCACGGCUCAUUACAAUAUUUUUGUGGAUGUGAUUUUGGCGGAUCCCAAUCACUGGAGGUUUCAAGGAGGCAAAUGGGUUCCUUGCGGCAAAGCGGACACCAAUGUGCAAGGAAAUCGGGUCUAUAUGCAUCCGGAUUCCCCCAACACUGGGGCUCACUGGAUGCGCCAAGAAAUCUCUUUUGGAAAAUUAAAACUUACGAACAACAAAGGAGCUUCAAAUAACAAUGGGCAGGUCAGUGGCUCAAGCGCUCGUGUUUUGUCUCUCUCUCACCCCUUCCUCCCUGACAUCCAGUUCGUCAGUGUAAAGCAGCAUAUGGAACUGGAUACACGUUUCUUUGCUUCAUUAAAAAGACUUAAAAAUUGUAUUUCCACCCUCCAAAUUUAUAUUAAAUCUAUAAAGUUGUUCUCAUUGGCAACACCUCCGUCGGCCCAAUUUUGGAAUGCCCGACCUUCCCAAGUACUAAUACUGAUUGAUUUUGAGAAGAAACCCCACAAGAUCUGCAGGUUGUGGAAAUCUCUGUUCCUCCUUACAGGAGGACUAGGAGAAGGGCCCUGAGGAUCGGGCGGUCGGCUUCCCCCUUUUCUCCGGUGCCCCGGCUUAUCUUCGCUCCCAGAGGUGCGAAAGCCGGUCUGUCCCAGCCAGCCAGCCGCCAGCCAGGCGAGUCCCGCGGUCAGUUAGCCUGGGAGGCGGGCUGCAGGCUGCCUCCGCCGGCCCGGGCGCGCAGCCUGGCGCACACAGCCACGCGCACAGCGACCGCGUUAACACGCCACCCUGCGCUCCCCUUUCUUCCCGCCGGACAGAUGGUGGUUUUACAGUCCUUGCACAAGUACCAGCCCCGCCUGCAUGUGGUGGAAGUGAACGAGGACGGCACGGAGGACACUAGCCAGCCCGGCCGCGUGCAGACGUUCACUUUCCCUGAGACUCAGUUCAUCGCCGUCACCGCCUACCAGAACACCGAUGUAAGGAGACCUAGGGGCUGGGGGCGAGGCGGGCGGCACAGACAUCUCUCCCACCCUCUCACAUUCUCCCGCCAUGCAGGGCUAGGGUACUAGCAGCGCUAACAUCAGCAACAGCUGGCUCCGUUGUGCGUUUUAAGGCCUAGGGCUCGGGGCCUGCCCACGGCACCUUUCCUAAAUACCAAGCCGGUGGGAAAAAGCUUUCUAUUUGUUUUCGUCGCUGGUCACCCGGGCCACCUUUGAGGUGGCCAGGAUUUCUAAAGACUCUUCUUUUGGGAGUUUUAAUUUGGGCUUUGAACUAGAACAGAUUAAAUCUACUUUUUUUUUUUUUUUUUUUUUUUUUUUUUUUUUUAAUUCUCUUUCCUUUAGAAAACAAGCAGAUUUCCCCGUGCAUUUUAUUCUUGGCAAGCUUUAGCAUCUAAAAAAAAAUUUCUCUCUCUCUCUCUUUUUUUUUAUCUCAGAACUGAUGGCUGAAAUGAACAAACAUCACUGUUCUGGGAGAUCAAAAGAACAUACACAUUCAUAUAUGUGAAAACUACAAUAAAUCAAAUUACUGAGGGCUAUGGAUUGAGCUUUCUAGCACUUGAACCACUUCCGAUUUUGCAAGUUUGCAAAAACUGAUUUUAGUGGCUGAUUUGACUACUAGGAGUGAUAGGGGUUUUUGUGUGUUUUUUUUUUUUUUUUACUUAAAUGAUAAUAUCAGAAAUUAAAACAUGCUUUUAAAUCAAACCUGAUUUUAAGAUGCAACUUGUGGUUUCUCAGGUUGUGAGUCAGAAGCGACAAAUGUUUUAAAAUAUAAAAUACUUAAAAUAGUCAACAUUUAGUGAUGAAUUCAAGUACUCCUUAAAGAUUUUUGUCUGAAUAAGUGCAUUGUGUGUAACAAGCAUUUUUAAAAUGUGAGUUUGAAACAAUUUAGAAAACACAGGAGAGCUAAUUGAAAGCAGUUCUUUGGCUAUAGGUAUCAUUAAUUUAAACAUGUUCCUCAUAACUUUCAUGAUACUUUCUCUUUUUUUUCCUUUCCACUCAAUCCCUCAAAUUUUUCAUUUAGGAAAACCUUGCUAUUUAAUAAAUUGUAGGCCUUAAGCCCCUGUAAAAGUGGCAGAUGAUAUAUUCUCAAACACCCAGUCUUCACGUAUAAAAGGUGACAUAACAUUCAUUUUUUUUCUUUGCCAGAUUACACAACUGAAAAUAGAUCACAACCCUUUUGCAAAAGGAUUUCGGGAUAAUUAUGACACGUAAGUAAUUUUGUAUCUUCCUUUUCAAAUAGCUGUGGAAUUGGGCUUUAGGUCAAAGGUGGAUUAUUAUGUACAAGGAUUUUGAAAGCUGGAAUGUGUGAAGACAAGGUUGUUUCAGAGGACGUCUUCUUCUUCUUCUUCUUUUUUCUUCUUUUUUUUUUCUUUGGUUGGCUCCCCUUCUCUCUGGUGACCUUGUGGCUUGGUACUUGUGUGGUUUUUGGUCAGAGGUUUCCUCCACCUAAUUUUAGCUUUCCUGUGGAUUACAAAGUUGUUGGCGGGCCUCUGGGGCUGGCUGGCUGGCUGGCUGGCUGGCUGGGGAGGCUGCCCUGGUUCUCGGGUGUGAAUACUGUAUGUGGCGCUGCAGAUGCUCAGCUCAGAUUGUCUAUGUCUGUCUGAAAUGGGCAAUUCUGCCUAAAAGUGCAUGUGGCUCCUCUGGCAGUUGUUAACAGUCUCCUUAGCAUAUGCGACUUUUAUUUACCCAUUUCCAAGCUUUGUAUAAUAGCAUUUCCUGUGCAAGUUUAUUACGGACUGAAUACAAAUGUGCACCCACCACAGGCGAGUUCAUGAGCAGAACCGCUGUUACGGUCGUUUUAGGCUUUCGGAAAGAUUCAGAUCUUGUUGCUGUGUAUUAUUUAUAAGCUUCAAAAGAAAAAUAUUUCCUCUUUCUUUUGUAUCUAGGUGUGUUUUAAUUAAACAUGCUGGUGCCCUUUUCUUUAGGCCUCCCUUACCUCCCUCUUUUCUAUCAAAAGGCUGUUCUCUGGGGGCAACAGUAGGUGUAAACUGAAUGCUUUCUGGGCUUGUUCUGCAAUUCUCACUCAGGGUCCAUAGUGCCUAAGAGUUCAGAUAGUGUUAUAAAUCUAAAUCUGGAUUGUGGGGUUCCCCCACGUUUUCUGACCAUAAAAGGAAAGGGUACAUACACCUUAAUUUCAUGGCUUACAUUGAGCGCCGGAGAUAGAGCUAAAAAGUUGAAGCUGCCUUUGACUAGCAUAGAUUAAAUGUGUGGAGAAAGAGACAGGUGACUGCCUCUAUUCCAUCUCCAAGCAGAUACCAACCAUCCCUCCUGAUAUUUUCUAAUAAUUUAAAAGAGAGUCAUUGAUAUUACUGCUUAUAACCACCAUAUAUAUUCUUCAGAAGUACUCCAAAGGAAGCAAGUCUCAUCAAUAUGAUUCCCCAGAAUAAAAACUUGGCUACUGUAUUCCUCACAAUCUAAAAAGGUGUGCCCAGCACAGUGGAAAGUAUAUGGCCCAAGAGACUAGAGAUGUUAGAGGAGAGUCCUGUAGAUUUUGAGAUUUUAAUUCUGUUGUGAACAUCUGUUCAAAAGCAUUUUAUUUUGCACAAAUCAAUUCAGUAAUCCCAAGUGGGUGGGACCUGGAUAGGCAUCUAAACUGUAUCUUUUGCAGACUGCUUUUUUCUUUUUAAAAUAUUGUGGUGAUAAACAGAGAAGAUAUUUGCACCUUGCUAGUUAUGUUCCCUUCCUGCCUCCCUCUGCUUCUCUUAUUUGAAACUGGAAUUCAAUUUCAGGAGGGAAAUUUUGUGCACUAAACAGAACGGACCUGAGCAGCCACAGCAAAACUCUCACAUGCUCCUCCUCCUCUGGCUGCCUUCUGUUGGAAAAGCCACUCCUCUUUGAUCUUAAAUCACUUUAAAUCUUUCAUAAAAGCUUCUUUAUCUCUACAAAAAACAAAAACAAAAACAAAAACCUGAGAUUUUUAGGGGAUAGAGAAGAGUUGGGUGGUUUAUGACACUCUUCCUUUCCCCUUUUACAUUGGUUACUUGGACAUGUCUCAAUUUUGGAGAAAGAGGGAGAAGUAUAAGGGUUCACGGGGUACUAGGAGCUUGCUUGGCCACUCACCAGGGAAUCUCCUCCCUAAAGGAUUAAGGUCUGACAAGACUGAGGCUCUCCUUCAAAACAGUCUGUUGACUAAAGAUUAAAACAUUUAUGUGUGAGCUAAAUAAAAAGGGAGGCAUGUGUGCAUGUGUAUGAGAAAACACUUCUACCAAUCUUCAUCCAACCCCUUGGUUUCCUCUCAAUUCUAAUGGGAUUUUCUAGGCCCAGGGCCUAAAGUUAAUCUUUGAUUAUUUUAUCUAAGGUAAUUCCCAACAACACAAUCACUGUCGGUGGUUGGGCAAGUUAUUUAACUUCCUUUUGCCUCAAUUUCCUCAUCGGUAAAGUGGGAUAAUAAAAGUUACCUAGCUCACAGUGCCUGGCAUAUAGUCGAGCUCCGUAAAGGUUAGCUAUUAUUAGUGGUCCAUUGCAUGCAGUAGGCUGAUAAGUGCACUGUAGGUUUGCCCCGAAGUUUCUGCGGUUAACGGACCAAAAGCUAGGAAAAGAAGGUCAGAGUAAAGAACACCUUUUCUCUUAAGAGAAUAUUUCUGAUUGAUGACUACUGUUUCAGAGUAGUAAUUCUUGUUUGUAUUAGUAGAGGUGGGAGUGAAAGUUUCACACAGGGGAAACAAUAGACACUAAGUACCUUGGAGGCUUCCAGCAGCAAACCUCGGGUUCCAGAACACGGGUGAAGGCCCGUCUUUGAUGAUUACUGCGUGCGCGGCUUUUUCCUAGGGGUUUCUGAAACAAUCUAGAAAAAGCAGAGAAAUCACCUGAACAAUCAAAUGGACACAGGAGGUCUUAAAAGGGUGGAGGAGUGAGUACCUUGCUUAGAAAUUUCACUCAUAAACUGACCGCAGAGGAAAGGCCCACUGGGCAAAGAGCAUCUUACUCCCUAGGUAAAUCUGCCUUAAUAUGCACACAUAUGUUGGAGAAGUGGGAUGAAAGUCCUUGCUUGUGCCCCUCUCUCAGUACCCCAGUACACUUGACGAGAGAGAGCAAGAGAAGAGGGAAGUCGUUCCCUUGAUGGUCUGUAUCUUGCUCAGGUCCCUGCAGACAGAUUGGCUCCUUUAUAAUUCCAUGAUUUAUUUUGGGAAUGAUAGAGGUGUGUGGCCUCUUGUAUUCUCCAGGAAAUCCUGGACUGCAAGUUUGUAGAUGGAGGGUGUGGGGGUGGGAGAAAAGUGGAGGUGGCCUUCCCUUCUGCCCCCACCCCCACCCCAAGGGACCUCCGCGCCACCCCUCGGCUCUCUCUCUCUCUCUCCCUACCCCGCAGGAUCUACACCGGCUGUGACAUGGACCGCCUGACCCCCUCGCCCAACGACUCGCCGCGCUCGCAGAUCGUGCCCGGGGCCCGCUACGCCAUGGCCGGCUCUUUCCUGCAGGACCAGUUCGUGAGCAACUACGCCAAGGCCCGCUUCCACCCGGGCGCGGGCGCGGGCCCCGGGCCGGGUACGGACCGCAGCGUGCCGCACACCAACGGGCUGCUGUCGCCGCAGCAGGCCGAGGACCCGGGCGCGCCCUCGCCGCAACGCUGGUUUGUGACGCCGGCCAACAACCGGCUGGACUUCGCGGCCUCGGCCUACGACACGGCCACGGACUUCGCGGGCAACGCGGCCACGCUGCUCUCUUACGCGGCGGCGGGCGUGAAGGCGCUGCCGCUGCAGGCUGCAGGCUGCACUGGCCGCCCGCUCGGCUACUACGCCGACCCGUCGGGCUGGGGCGCCCGCAGCCCCCCGCAGUACUGCGGCACCAAGUCGGGCUCGGUGCUGCCCUGCUGGCCCAACAGCGCC
RNAcentral lists this small RNA (7193 nucleotides) under Pongo abelii (Sumatran orangutan). RNAcentral describes it as "retained intron". The record is from RNAcentral. Lineage: Eukaryota; Metazoa; Chordata; Mammalia; Primates; Hominidae.